AUUUUCCGUGGCAUCAUUACGUUAUAUAGAUAUGCACUGCAGCUUUGACAUCGGUUUUGCACCCAACUAGACAUCGGGCUGAUACCGAUGUUGCAAUUUUUAACUAAUAUCAUCCGAUUCCGAUAUAUUCAUGAACUUAUAUUGUGCAUCCCUAGUAAGAUAAGUUGAAUGCUUCCCCAAACUCACACGCUGCCAAUUCAGUCUUCAUAAAAAACAUGGAGGCAAUUAUUUUAUAGUCAGAUUUUCAAGCAAGGUAAGACAUGCCUCAUAAUAUGAAGUAAAAUGUUAAGGGUUCAAGCAAUUAAGUAUGUUUUCAAAAUGCAUACUGUCUCCAGCUCACAGCGUAAAGUGGUGUGGGAUAGCAUUUUCUAUCAUACCCCCAAGACAUGCUAACCUCUCACCAUUACAAUAACAGGGUAGGUUAGUGUUUUAUAUCAUACACCCAAGACAUGCUAACCUCUCACCAUUACAAUAACAGGGUAGGUUAGUGUUUUAUAUCAUACCCCCAAGACAUGCUAACCUCUCACCAUUACAAUAACAGGGUAGGUUAGUGUUUUAUAUCAUACACCCAAGACAUGCUAACCUCUCACCAUUACAAUAACAGGGUAGGUUAGUGUUUUAUAUCAUACACCCAAGACAUGUUAACCUCUCACCAUUACAAUAACAGGUUAGGUUAGCAUUUUACAUCAUACCCCCAAGACCUGCUAGCCAGUAUUUUUUUUCUUUCUCCCAG
Oncorhynchus tshawytscha (Chinook salmon) is the source of this 733-nucleotide long non-coding RNA. The record is from Ensembl. Lineage: Eukaryota; Metazoa; Chordata; Actinopteri; Salmoniformes; Salmonidae.